Molecule: long non-coding RNA, 2716 nt
Organism: Anas platyrhynchos (mallard)
Lineage: Eukaryota; Metazoa; Chordata; Aves; Anseriformes; Anatidae
Source: RefSeq, a predicted model, not a curated record
AAUGCUUCUAACCAAAGAAGGGCUACCAAGUGCUGUUAGUGAUCAUAUUUGAGAAAGAAAGGUGUUUUCCUACCUCUCCUGUGCCUGGAAGUUUUGCUGCAUUCUCUGGGGAAAGGAGGCUGUUUACUCUUGCAGAUGUAUAGGGGUAUUAUGCACAACUAAGCUGUUCUAGCAUUUUUCAGGGUGAAAAACAGUAAACUUCUUGAGGCCUGGACUGUCAGAUCGUGGAGGAAAAAGUCUGGAAAAAACAUUCUCUGAAAAAAAAGAUCUGUCCUAGGGCAAAAUGCCUUCAGAAAUGUGCCCUGGCCACUGGUGCUGUAAGACAUUGAGGAUGACAGUUACACUGCUACGUCCUGUCGCUUGUACCUUCAGUUCACUGCCAAAGGUGUUUCAUGCUGUGGUAUGGAAGAAAUGCUUUGUCAACGAUCUUCAAAAAAGAGGAAGAGGUAUGCAGCCAACAAGAAGGUGAAAGCAGCCAUGAAAACAAUCGUGUUUCAUUGACAAAUGGAUAGCAUAGUACUACUGGUUCAUUUCUAAUAAGCUCAUUCCUUCAGCCAAGGAGAAAGGGAUAUGUCAGCAUGCAAAGACUACAACUACUCCAUGAAGAUAUGAAGUGAUGGCAUAAAACAAUUCAAAGGUAUUCCACUGAGGCAGAUGAAUUUAAACAUGGCCACAGGCGUAAGAAGAUUUGGAACGCAUGUCCAUUAAACUCACAAAUAGCUUGCCAGAUGGAGCAAAUGGAAAAAACUCUCUUCCUGACAACUAUAAAUGUUGCACAAAGAUUAAUAUAAUGAGAUUGAGCUGCUACAUUGACUGUAGCAGGGUUCUGAGUUCCCAUUUUUCCAUUCAUCUGUUUGUGCCAACACAUGCCUAUCACUGUCUGAGGAACUUUACAGUGAAAGAAAUUAAAAGUGGAUAACCUGGGUUAUGAAGUUAAAAUAGCUAGAACCUUCUUCCCCACUCUGCACCCUUUCAUAUAAGACUUGAUCCCUGAAGCAAGCUUCCAUUGGCUUCCCAAGUUCCUGUGAUGAUAUACAGAGGGUCCUUGAAGAUAAUUCUGAUGGUCUGAGUGAGUCCUUUGUUAGUAGUGGUGGCCUACAAGAAUCUUCGAUCUCUUCUCCCACUACCCUCUUUAUUAAUCUGUCCUGGGCAACCUGAUGAAAGUAUCCCUGCAUGGAAGAGUGGUGACCAGCUGACCUCCAGGUUGGAACCUUCACUAUUCUGUGAUUAAAAAUACUCAUAUUUAUUAAUUUUGUUUGUUUUGUUUUUACUUAUUGGUUUAUUGGUAAGCAUAGCAUUUACAUAUAUGAAUUAAUACUUGUGUUGUGUGAAAACAUGGGUUGGUCUGGAAAUUUUUUAAUGAGUGAUUUCUAACUCUGCAGUUGGAUAUUCGGUGUAUUAUUCUGGUGUGAUUUUCAGUGAACCCUUUUAUCUCCCACUGCUUGAAUAUUUAGUGGAAACAACUGUUAACCCAUUUCCUGCACAGAACAGCCUGUAUGAACAUAGGUUGUCCAGUAUUUCUGUCAGUCUUUCCUGUAUUAGGUGAAUUUUCUAUGGAUAUUAAUAAUAUUUUAAUUUUAUUCAUGAGUAUUUGUAACUGUUUGACUCUCUCCUUUAAAUGAUGAUGUGUUGGGCUUUUAUUUUAUUAUUUUUAAUGUCCAUAAAACAUUUUCACAGUGAGUACUUUUCCACUUACAUUUGUGAGAAUUUUGUAUAUAAGAAAGCUUCUUACAAAAAAACACUGACUCACCUGAGUAAGCAAGUGAAGAAGUCCGUACUGAAGGGAAGGAAAUGAACAAAUUUUAUUUGCAGUAAUAUUUGCAUUCUCCCUUUGGCCUAAAAUCUACCUGGAUUCAAAGUACUACUGUAUCCUGUAUAGCCGACAUAUUCUACUUCCCAGUACUUUGUUCAAUAGUUAGUGUCAAUUAUCUAUUUGAUCAAGGACAAAAUCAGAGAAAGCAACUGUGAUAUUUGUUAAUGACAAACUUUACAUUAUGUAAAUGAAAGCAGUGUUGUCUACCUUGGAUACCUCUUUUUAAGCUUCUUUUUGAGAUACUUUUAAAUAAAAAUACACUGAAUUUCAAGUGUGAGGUCAAUCUGAGAUGCAAUUAAACAGCAGAGUGAAAAAUCAACGUAGAUAGUGAAAAUUUAUAAACAUGCAUUUAGGCAUUCAAGUGUUGGGCAUGAGAUAUGUGGAAAUGCUGGAAAGUGUUGCAUUAAAACUGCUUAUAAAAGUGAUAACUUAGUGACCUAAUUUUCCAAAAAGCCCAUUGGAAGUUAAAGAAAUAUAUGCACCGAAGUACCCAGUUUUCUUUUAGAAUAAACUUUCUUUUAGUUAAGAAGUUCCUAAUUUCUCUGGAAAAUAGUAUGUCACAUUUUGGGUUUAAUCCAACUUCAGUGGUAUAUGUUGGUUUCAUUAACACAAAAUCAAAAUGUAUAUGUCUUUUUUUUUUUUUUUUCAAAUUCACAGGCUAAAGAGUAUUGUAUUUAUUUCUACUUGCUGAACUAUAAACUGAGUAUGUACAUACUUAAAAAAAAGUUUUUAAUAACAUGAUGUUAAAAUUAAAUGGUGCCACUCAUUUACUAUGUGUCAAUCUAUAAUUUAAUGAAACUGUAAAUUGUUGAUGCAACACUGUUUCAUUACAAUUACAUGAAAUUCUUGGAAACUUUUCACUCAGUGUGAUUUUGUUAGAACCGAUAAAUCAAUAAAAAUGAA